RNAcentral lists this transfer RNA (72 nucleotides) under Nitrospiraceae bacterium. Its description in RNAcentral is "tRNA-Cys". It matches the Rfam family "tRNA". From Rfam's summary of the family: Transfer RNA (tRNA) molecules are approximately 80 nucleotides in length. Their secondary structure includes four short double-helical elements and three loops (D, anti-codon, and T loops). Further hydrogen bonds mediate the characteristic L-shaped molecular structure. tRNAs have two regions of fundamental functional importance: the anti-codon, which is responsible for specific mRNA codon recognition, and the 3' end, to which the tRNAs corresponding amino acid is attached (by aminoacyl-tRNA synthetases). tRNAs cope with the degeneracy of the genetic code in two manners: having more than one tRNA (with a specific anti-codon) for a particular amino acid; and 'wobble' base-pairing, i.e. permitting non-standard base-pairing at the 3rd anti-codon position. Lineage: Bacteria; Pseudomonadati; Nitrospirota; Nitrospiria; Nitrospirales; Nitrospiraceae. The record is from RNAcentral.
GGCGGCGUACCCAAGUGGUAAGGGAGAGGUCUGCAAAACCUCGAUGCAGCGGUUCGAAUCCGCUCGCCGCCU